RNAcentral lists this long non-coding RNA (584 nucleotides) under Phoenix dactylifera (date palm). RNAcentral's name for it is "long non-coding RNA (PDAC_LNC000433)". Lineage: Eukaryota; Viridiplantae; Streptophyta; Magnoliopsida; Arecales; Arecaceae. The record is from RNAcentral.
UCAUGUAUAGGAAUCAGAUUUAGAAGUGAAAGUUCCUAAUGCUCAUGGUUUAAUGAUGAUGUAUUUGAUUGAUGUGGCAGACCUAAGACAUGAGUACUCAGAAAACUUUGGUCUGUCCAUUAUAUUUUUUGUACUUGUUUGCGUAUUGGAUUUGCUUAACGCUGAAAAGGUGAUCCAGUGUCAAACUAUUUGGUAGUUUUUAACAUGAGUUGCAAAUUUGCUGCGUAUUGGAUUUGCUUAACGCUGAAAAGGUGAUCCCAGUGUCAAACUGUUUGGUAGUUUUUAACAUGAGAAUUGCAAAUUUGCUGCAGGUGAUUGGUGUCAUGCCACUUAGAAGCAAUGCUCCACCAAAGUUUUCACAGAGGAUUCAGAUGAUUACAGACACUUACCAAGUGGUUUGAUUUAUGAUGGAAAUAAUUUGUGGCAUUGAACCUGUCUUUCAAAUUGACUUUAUCUGUAGUAUGAUGGAAAUGGUUUGUGGCAUUGAACUGGUCUUUCAAAUUGACUUUAUAUGUAGGGCCUUUGUUUUAUCCCCACUCAUCCACGAACCUUGGCAGUGAAACAAGAUUUUAAAUUUGUGCGCC